This 928-nucleotide ribosomal RNA is filed under the name uncultured bacterium. RNAcentral's name for it is "bacterial SSU rRNA". It matches the Rfam family "Bacterial small subunit ribosomal RNA", at positions 8 to 916 of the family's 1533-position model. The record is from RNAcentral.
AGAGUUUGAUCCUGGCUCAGGAUGAACGCUGGCGGCGUGCCUAAUACAUGCAAGUCGAGCGAACAGACGAGGAGCUUGCUCCUUUGACGUUAGCGGCGGACGGGUGAGUAACACGUGGGUAACCUACCUAUAAGACUGGGAUAACUUCGGGAAACCGGAGCUAAUACCGGAUAAUAUUUCGAACCGCAUGGUUCGAUAGUGAAAGAUGGCUUUGCUAUCACUUAUAGAUGGACCUGCGCCGUAUUAGCUAGUUGGUAAGGUAACGGCUUACCAAGGCAACGAUACGUAGCCGACCUGAGAGGGUGAUCGGCCACACUGGAACUGAGACACGGUCCAGACUCCUACGGGAGGCAGCAGUAGGGAAUCUUCCGCAAUGGGCGAAAGCCUGACGGAGCAACGCCGCGUGAGUGAUGAAGGUCUUCGGAUCGUAAAACUCUGUUAUUAGGGAAGAACAAACGUGUAAGUAACUGUGCACGUCUUGACGGUACCUAAUCAGAAAGCCACGGCUAACUACGUGCCAGCAGCCGCGGUAAUACGUAGGUGGCAAGCGUUAUCCGGAAUUAUUGGGCGUAAAGCGCGCGUAGGCGGUUUUUUAAGUCUGAUGUGAAAGCCCACGGCUCAACCGUGGAGGGUCAUUGGAAACUGGAAAACUUGAGUGCAGAAGAGGAAAGUGGAAUUCCAUGUGUAGCGGUGAAAUGGCGCAGAGAUAUGGAGGAACACCAGUGGCGAAGGCGACUUUCUGGUCUGUAACUGACGCUGAUGUGCGAAAGCGUGGGGAUCAAACAGGAUUAGAUACCCUGGUAGUCCACGCCGUAAACGAUGAGUGCUAAGUGUUAGGGGGUUUCCGCCCCUUAGUGCUGCAGCUAACGCAUUAAGCACUCCGCCUGGGGAGUACGACCGCAAGGUUGAAACUCAAAGGAAUUGACGG